Molecule: ribosomal RNA, 492 nt
Filed under: uncultured bacterium
Lineage: Bacteria
Description: partial 16S ribosomal RNA
Rfam family: Bacterial small subunit ribosomal RNA
Source: RNAcentral
AGUGAACGCUGGCGGUAGGCCUAACACAUGCAAGUCGAACGGCAGCACAGUAAGAGCUUGCUCUUACGGGUGGCGAGUGGCGGACGGGUGAGGAAUACAUCGGAAUCUACUUUUUCGUGGGGGAUAACGUAGGGAAACUUACGCUAAUACCGCAUACGACCUACGGGUGAAAGCAGGGGAUCUUCGGACCUUGCGCGAUUGAAUGAGCCGAUGUCGGAUUAGCUAGUUGGCGGGGUAAAGGCCCACCAAGGCGACGAUCCGUAGCUGGUCUGAGAGGAUGACCAGCCACAAGGGGACGGAGACACGGCCCAGACUCCUACGGGAGGCAGCAGUGGGGAAUGUUGGACAAUGGGCGCAAGCCUGAUCCAGCAAUGCCGCGGGGAGGAAGAAGGCCUUCGGGUUGUAAACUUCUUUUGUGGGGAAAGAAAAGGCGCUGGUUAAUACCCGGGGCUAAUGACGGUACCGAAAGAAUAAGCACCGGCUAACUACGUG